RNAcentral lists this ribosomal RNA (396 nucleotides) under Elusimicrobiota bacterium. Its description in RNAcentral is "bacterial SSU rRNA". It matches the Rfam family "Bacterial small subunit ribosomal RNA", at positions 52 to 449 of the family's 1533-position model. Lineage: Bacteria; Pseudomonadati; Elusimicrobiota. The record is from RNAcentral.
CACAUGCAAGUCGAGCGAAGAGUACCAGAGUACCGGGCUCUUAGCGGCAGACGGGUGAGUAAUACUUAAACAAUCUGCCCUCGAAUGGGAGACAACCAAGCGAAAGUUUGGCUAAUACCCCAUACAAUCCUCUUGAGGCAUCUCAAGGGGAUGAAAGGCCCGCAAGGGUCGUUCGAGGAGGAGUUUGAGUCCUAUCAGCUAGUUGGCGGUNNCACCAAGGCUAUGACGGGUAGCCGAUCUAAAAGGAUGACCGGCCACAAGGGCACUGAGACACGGGCCCUACUCCUACGGGAGGCAGCAGUGGGGAAUUUUGGACAAUGGACGAAAGUCUGAUCCAGCGACGCCGCGUGAAGGACGAAGGUUUUCGGAUCGUAAACUUCUUUUGCAGGGGACGAA